Gallus gallus (chicken) is the source of this 6205-nucleotide long non-coding RNA. Lineage: Eukaryota; Metazoa; Chordata; Aves; Galliformes; Phasianidae. The record is from Ensembl.
CUCUGUCUUCAGGAGCUGAGGUGGAGGAUCAGUGUCUGGAGGCUUUGAUGUCUCCAUGUGUCCCAGUGAGCAGUGCUUAUGUGGGCCUUUCUCCUGGUGGCUCUGUUAUUCUCAGGGGAAAAGAAGAAGAAAUACUAUCAGUGCACUCUUUGUCCCAUAGGCAUUACAACAUAAACAAGGGGUUGUUAGAAAAGUUCAGAGCCAGCUGUACUGCUCCUUUACAUCCCACUGAAGUGGUAUUGUUUCCCUGUGUCCAGCAGUGAGCACUCAGAGCUGAGCCUCUGGUGUCCCAGGCACUGAAUAAAGAUGGGAGAGACUUCCUUUGGAAGUGUAUUACAUCUGAGCAGCAGCACAUUAAGAUUCCUAAAUGCACAGGAUCUUGGUGCUGUGCCUGAAGUACCCAAGCUCUGCAUUAAGCAUUUGCAAGACAGAAUCAUAGAAUGGCCUGGGUUGAAAAGGACCACAAUGGUCAACUCGUUUCAACCCCCUGCUAUGUGCAGGGUCGCCAACCACCAGACCAGGCUGCCCAGAGCCACAUCCAGCCUGGCCCUGAAUGCCUCCAGGGAUGGGGCAUCCACAGCCUCCUUGGGCAACCUGUUCCCGUGCAUCACCACCCUCUGUGUGAAAAACUUCCUCCUAAUAUCCAACCUAAACCUCCUCUGUCUCAGUUUAAAACCAUUCCCUCUUGUCCUAUCACCAUCCAGUUGCAGAGCUGUGACCUGUGACAUCUGGCCACGACACCUUUGCAAACUCAGCCCCUCAGCCCACCAGGUUUCACAGGCUCCACUUUGCCAACUUCUAAACGAAUCCUUGCAGGGCUGAAGCAACUGUACUGAAGAAUUCAGUCCUCCCCAUCCCUUCUGCUAAGAGCUGUAUACUGUCUCCCUUCCAUUUGGGAGCUUUCUCUUUGCCAUUCACGUUGCUGUGCUGCAUCUCAGCAGACCUGAACUACAGGACACUGAGAAAUUUGGUGCACCCCAGCUUUGUACCCACCCCUGCAGCCCCAGCUGCCCCACAGCCAAGGCCCUCUGCCUCUUCCAGCCCCCUUAUGCAGAAACGAAGUUUCUGGAUGCUCUCGCUCCCUUUGGUCGCUCUGUGAGCACGAAGACCCGGCCGUUGCCUUUAGCCUGACCGACAGCCCCUUUGCUGGCUGGCUUUGCAGCAGAGGGCGCUGCGGACUGCGGAGCGGCUGCCCUCCGCUGGGGGCUCUGCCGGAGCCCUUCGCUGCUGCUCGGCUCCUCAGGACAAAAGUCAGACAAAACCACCCUUAUGCAGCAGCCGCGUGAUGGCCAUCCUGCAUCAACCCUGCCUGCUACAUCACAGCACUGACUAAAAUGAUGCCUGAACUACAGUAGGGCCAGAGAAGAGGACAAUGCCAGGCCCCAACCAAUUCCGGCUGGGCUCUCCUACCACAGCCACUGUACAUUCCAGAUUUGGCUCCUUCUGACUUCCACCUGUUCAGACCAACGAAAAAAGGACUUUGAGGGCAGCAUAUUCCCAGCACAGUGCUGUUGCUGUGAAACUGUGGGGUCACCUCCACAGGUGCAGAUAAUUACAAGAGUGGCACACAGGCUCUUGUCCAUCACUGGCAAAAAUGCAUGGCUAACAUGGUGGCUGCACUGAAAAACAGUGUUUUGUAGCUGAGAAUUCAUCAAGCAGCGUUAUUGCACUCUUUGUAGCUCUUGUAGUUUCCAUGGAAAUCACUAGAAGGCAUUACUUUCGGAGCAACCUACGUACAUCACCAUGAAGAGUGUCUCCCCACAAUCAAGUAUUGCCAGGAAUGACACAACACAAGAUCCUACCAGUUAUGACAGUAAAUUGGUGGGUCCUCUCAGGUGCCAUCCUCCUGCACAGAGCUCUGGGGACACUUCUACCUUUGUACAUCACCAUUUGAAAGCUUGGAAUAGAAAUCCAGAGGGAGAAUCCAGCUUGAAUCCCGCCAUAGACCAUCAUAUUUAAUGGAGAAGAGUAUGACUGUCAUCUAAGAGAAGAGGCUGAGAAAGGAUUUGCUGUUCUUACAAACGUGGUGCCUUCUGCAGAAGAGCAGUUGAGAAAAUAAACUACAUAAAGUAGAAAGAGAAUAACACGUCAAAAUCCAGGAACUCCAGCAGCCUAAACAUGCUGCUUAUCUGCCCGAGAGCCAGCCUGCUACCUCUUACACCCAUCCUUGUCCCAAGAAGGGAUGGGCUCUGAUGAUCCUCUGCCCAAUCUAUUGCUUAAGCAAAAUUAUCACAAGUGAGCAAUCAUAAUUACUGGCAAAGUGGGCUUGGAGGUGUGACAGCUAGAUAGAUGAGAUGGAAGAACCAGGAGUUGCACACAUCAAGGAAGUACCGGGCUGGAAGGAGGUUGCUCAAGGGUUUUCCCCUGAUCCUGGACUGAGUACUGUUCACUUUUUGUAGCUGGCCGUAGACUAAACGUGGGGACAGAGCUAAAGAAGUGACAAGGCAGCAAAAACUACAGAAAGGAACUGAUUGCUGUGUGAGAAGGAACAAAUGGCACCAAGUGCCGGGAGAAAUACCUCUGCCCUGCCUGCAGCUCUGCACAUCCAUGUACAAAUCCGCGCUGGGAACUCUGGCUUACCAAGCAGGGCUGUUGGAAAGCAGGAUCUGAAGGUAUUAGCCCUUAGGCUCAGCAAAAUGCCACCAAAUAACACAGCCAUGAAGAGAAAGGCACUUUCUAGGCAAAGUAUUUCCAGGAGAGAUAUGUGCUCCAGGAGUUACCAGCGCUCAUCCCAUGGAGUGAGCACCUGUCCCCACUCUGGGAUGCUGUUGGCAAUGGUGGGCAUUGGGUCCUACCAGCCAGGCUGCACAGCAGGGUUCUCUCCACCAGAACAAUUCCUGCCCAGCUCGUUCCUCAACACCAUCCUUAAUUGCUGGAGCCUCGCGGAGCGGCCUGCCUAAUGAAGGAAGAUAAUAAUUAGCCCAGUGUUUUCCCUGCCUUUGCUGUCAGUCCAUAGGUACUGACCUUUUAAACAUGUAUUUGGUGAAAAGCUGUUCUCGUGGGUUGUUGGAGAGGAGACAGGGAGGAGACCACAUAGUGCUUGUGGGUGGCUGCCUUCCCCUCCAAUUAGCAGCAUCGAUAACAAUCAAAUUAGAGUUAAAGCAGGAGCAGCAUAAUUGGAAGGCCAGCUUGCCAAAUGAAAAUUAUGCAAGAGUAGAGGAGGCUGGUGCUGUGCCAGCAGGAUGCACUGCUUGUUGGGCUGCAUCUGCAGGAGCAACUUUCAAGAAUAUUUGAGAGAUGAGAGGCUGCAAAGGUAUUUAGUGUUGUGUGUUGCUAUUGCUCUACCCCAAAGGAGGUGAUGCAAGUAAAGCCUGGCAAAAGAUUUUACGGGGCGUGCAAAAAAAUAAAGAGAAUGUAAUGUGGCAGAAAAACAAAGACUCAAAGUGCUAAAGGAUGAGGGACUGUCAUUUCUUAUCUAUUUUUAACAAUUCAGUAAGAAAAGGGAAGAUCCAUCACUAACCUGAAAGGCAGCGGAUCCAAAGGGAUGUCCGAAACCCAUCCACGGUGCAGAGGUGGGGUCAAAAAUUGCUGUGUGUUUUGGGAAGAGAAAGAACAACAGAGAACUUCAGUGCCAGUGCUAAUAAUAAGACAUGGUGACUCAGUGCCUGGGAAGGAGGCUGGGGGGGAGGAUGGAAAAUGAGCAAAAGUCGGGAUUUUUGGCAAAUGGAAAGACUGAGGCAUCCCGAUGAGGGCCCAAAUGUGGGAAGUUAUCUAAAAAUACACAAACAAAUAAACCCCCAUCUCUCUACAGGGAUGUAGAGAUGUGUAUCAGAGCUGUUCACAUUGGCAGCAGAGUCGAGGCCAAGGCUUGGGGGUAGAACACAACAGAGAUGUCUGGAGUCCCUGCUGAUGCAGAUCAGCUCACUGCUGGACCUGCCUUGUGUCUCCGUGCCCUUGGAUCCAUCGUGCUGGGCAAGCCUGGUGGAGGGAAAGGGGAAAGCAAAGAACACGUACCUGGCUGGGAUACUAUUUGGUAACUUAGGGCAGACAGGGGAUUUUUGGAGAGGAAGAAAUAUCACCCUCAACCAAAACUGCAUGCAAAUCCUGAAGCAGCCACUGCCUGAGCUGGGCACAGACAGUCCAACGUGAGGCCAGCAGAGCUGGAAAGGUCUUGAGAAGCCCAUCAGGAUUUGAAGGUGUUAGCAGAAAAGCAGCCCUAUGAAAAGACAGACGGUGGUUGCCUCUUUGUAGCCAAAUACUGAGAGAGGCAAUGCUCUGCUGAACCCAAGGCCCCAUCCCAUACACAGUGAUUGCCGAGCCCAAGGCCCAGGCAGCAGACUUCAACCUAACUUUGCUUUGCUUAAUGCAUACAGUUUGUCUCUGAGAACAAACAAUAGUAGUAAGGAGGUGGUCUUUACCAGCGUGAUGCGUUCGAGUUGACCUCAAUGACUCUGGAGCCUUCAAGAGAAGAACCACGUUACAUCCCAAAGCAUUGGGAGUGCCUGUGGGUCAGGAAGAGCCACUUUGCUACUUGAGCUGGGUUCAGCCCCCCAAUCAUCAUCAUAGAAUCACCAUAGAAUGGCCUGGGUUGAAAAGGACCACAGUGAUCAUCGAGUUUCAACCCCCCUGCUAUGUGCAGGGUCGCCAACAACCAGACCAGGCUGCCCAGAGCCACAUCCAGCCUGGCCUUGAAUGCCUCCAGGGAUGGGGCAUUCACAACCUCCUUGGGCAACCUGUCCCCCCAAAAAGAAGUUUACUUCAAGGUAUACAGAGUUUUGGCUUAGCUAUUGCUUCCACUGCAGGUUGAACCAGUGAGAUGCAGUGUCAUUAGGCACUUUGCCUUUAACAAGGCAAUUUCUUCCCAGGUAGUAGUUAUGACAACAGAACUUUCCUGGGUUUUCUUUCAUGCAAAGGGCCAUUUGGUGCCCAUGUGAUGCAUUCCUAACGCAGCUCUGACACACCAAGCAUCGCAGAAUGCUUAGCUGAUCCUUCAGCUUGAGGAAAGUAUCUAAGUCUCCUACUUCUGGGUUCAACGUAGUUCUUCUCAGCAGGACAGCACAGCAUAUCAGACUGCAGACACACUUUGAUGGGUUUUCUUUUACCACGAGGAAGGAAAAGGCUUCAACCUAUGUUUGUAAUAGAAAAUUGAGCACAUACGCACACUCAAUAAAUUAUUGCCCCACUUCCUGGCCCCACCACAAAGCCUUCUGAGCCAUCUCUCCUGCACUCAAAGACGUCUGAGCAGAAGGAGUUGGUGCUUUAUAUGAGCAUGGUGAGCAAAGCAGGGAAAAGCCAGAAAGCACCUCAAAAUUUAACACCAGUGAGUCCCUCUUACCUUCUCCUGCCCAGAUAAAUCUCUCACCCUCUCUUACUUCUUUUCCUCAGAAAACCUUUCUUCUGAUGUUAAUCCAGGUCUGAUAUCAGGCUCCUUUGAUGCACUGAAAUUCCCCAAAGAACAAUACUCAACUUUCGCACACAGCCCUUAUCUACGUGUAUGUAUUCCUCCUCUCUGCCUCCAAGGAACAGGUUCCUAUGAUAUUCCCCUGUUCAUCGAGGUCAUUUUCGUUCUUCAUCCAAUUUUCUCUUUGGAGAAGAGAGCCUGCAUCUGUUUCUUCAGACGUUCCUCCCACACCAUCUCAUAAAUAGGCAGCUAUGAAGUCUUUUCUCUGCACGAACACAGAUCUCUGGAGCGAGCACCCCAGUUAUCUUCAGGACUUACCCUUGGGGUAGAUGCUCCUGGUGAAGUCUAUGUUAGUUAAAGCAUGCGUGGCAAUUAGCAGCAUUAGGUCAACUUUUGAAGCCUCCACCCAACUUUCUACUAUCAGGAUUUCUUCUCCCAGAACUUCUGCGGAUAUAUCAAGAUGUAUCCUGCACAAGAACUGCAGCUGCAGCAAUCCACUGUAACCAUGCAAGAGCUUAGAGGACACUUUUUGCAGAUCUGAUUUCCCCUUGGCUGAAUCCAGCCCUCUGGAUAUGAAACUGCUCGAGGGUGAGAGCUCCUUGUGCCGGGCAAUGUGCCCUUGCUUUGAUGCACCAGCCACUACAAGGUUGCAAAGGAGGAAAACAAGGCUGUGUUUUGCCUAAUUACCAGACAGUGAAAACAAUUCUGAUGCUGCUGAGCCAGUAGUAGAGAGCCUGAUGAAUUUCCUAUGGUUUCUGCAAUUUGUCACGGCGCGGGUAUCGCUCCCUCACACACACACACCACCAGUUUGUUCCCCAGCAAAUCAGCCUUCGGCAGGGCAGAGCCCCGCUCACUGCCUUCCCG